RNAcentral lists this ribosomal RNA (253 nucleotides) under uncultured bacterium. RNAcentral's name for it is "partial 16S ribosomal RNA". It matches the Rfam family "Bacterial small subunit ribosomal RNA", at positions 524 to 776 of the family's 1533-position model. The record is from RNAcentral.
UACGGAGGGUGCAAGCGUUGUCCGGAAUCACUGGGCGUAAAGGGCGCGUAGGCGGCCCGGUAAGGAGGGGGUGAAAUCCUGCGGCUUAACCGCAGGGCUGCCUUCUAAACUGUCGGGCUCGAGCACGGUAGAGGCAGAUGGAAUUCCCGGUGUAGCGGUGGAAUGCGUAGAGAUCGGGAAGAACAUCAGUGGCGAAGGCGGUCUGCUGGGCCGUUGCUGACGCUGAGGCGCGACAGCGUGGGGAGCAAACAGG